UCAGGUAAGACCCCUUGAAGACUACAAGGUUGAUAGGCUCAAAGUGUAAGCGUCGUGAGGCGUUAAGCUAGCGAGUACUAAUCGGUCGAGGGCUUGACCAUA
This 102-nucleotide ribosomal RNA is filed under the name Fumia xinanensis. RNAcentral describes it as "Clostridiaceae bacterium NSJ-33 partial 23S ribosomal RNA". It matches the Rfam family "Bacterial large subunit ribosomal RNA", at positions 2824 to 2925 of the family's 2925-position model. The record is from RNAcentral. Lineage: Bacteria; Bacillati; Bacillota; Clostridia; Eubacteriales; Oscillospiraceae.